GACGAACGCUGGCGGCGUGCUUAACACAUGCAAGUCGAGCGGUAAGGCCCUUUCGGGGGUACACGAGCGGCGAACGGGUGAGUAACACGUGGGUGACCUGCCCUCAGCUCUGGGAUAAGCCUGGGAAACCGGGUCUAAUACCGGAUAUGACUCCAUGACGCAUGUUGUGGGGUGGAAAGCCUUGUGCGGCUGAGGAUGGGCCCGCGGCCUAUCAGCUUGUUGGUGGGGUGAGGCCUACCAAGGCGACGACGGGUAGCCGGCCUGAGAGGGCGACCGGCCACACUGGGACUGAGACACGGCCCAGACUCCUACGGGAGGCAGCAGUGGGGAAUCUUGCGCAAUGGGCGAAAGCCUGACGCAGCGACGCCGCGUGAGGGAUGACGGCCUGGUUGUAACGUACUUCUACGCUCCGACGAACGACGAGAGUGACGGUAGGAG
RNAcentral lists this ribosomal RNA (438 nucleotides) under uncultured bacterium. RNAcentral's name for it is "bacterial SSU rRNA". It matches the Rfam family "Bacterial small subunit ribosomal RNA", at positions 28 to 481 of the family's 1533-position model. The record is from RNAcentral.